AUGUCUGUGCACAGGGAUGCUGACACGCACAGCAGCCUAACUCGGGGUAGGGCGCGCGCGCGCGCAAGGGAUACCCGUUUUGUUGAAACUCCUACUGUGGUUCUUGGCCUGUUCUGGGACCUUACUGGGAGCCACUGGGUAGGCAGCAGAGGGACGCGGCUUCCUUACGCCCUUCGCAGCCCAGCCCAGACGGGGCACCGCACUGGGGCGAGCGGGGCCAGGGUCGCGCCAGCCCCCGCACUGGGAAAGGCGCGCGCAGGCUGUGGGUGGAAGCCCUGCCCACCUUCUCCUCCGCCCCGGGUCCACCUGGGUGUUGAGAAUGCCCCGGUUCGGAGCUCCCCAAAAAGGGUCUCCCGCGGAGAGAGCGAUCUGGGACCCGUUUUGAGCAGCAUCAGGCCCAGGCCCGAGGUCACACGGCUGAUCCCGACCUGGACUCUGGGGUCUGCGGCCUGGGCUCUGUCGCCCACUAGCCCUGCUCGGGCACACUGGGUCCCGCCGGGAUCCCGGGCUUGGAGACGCGACCCUGGAGACCGCUGGAGCGACAGGCACCCGAGGUCGACCUGCCCUCUGCGGCGCCAUAGUGGUUGGAAGCAAUCAGACCAACCCAACCGCAGCCUCGCCGGGCAGAGACCCGACAAGAGGAAGUUCCGCUGCAAAGUGGCAUUGCAGGCAAACGGUCUAGUUCGCUUGCAAAGACCCGCGGGUUCUAGAACGUGGUGGCGCGCGCCGGGGUUUGCUCCAAGCCUCGGGCGGCUGCAGCAGCCCUGCUGGCCGCCACCGCCUCCUUCCCCACCUGCUCGGGCUCUGCCCACGGCCGCGCCGCAGGGACCACACGCCGGCACCUUAAACGCACCCGAGGCGGGAGCAGCCUUCUUUUGGGGCGCCCACGGCAGUUUUCCGCGAGGGCGGCGUACUUCUCAGGGGGGUUUUUUCCUUUGGGGAGAUCGCCUCCAAUGCGGAUUGGCAAAUGGUCUGAGCCCCCUUUGCGGGACACCCAGGCAGAGUAACUUCUCCCAAUCUUUCUUCUCGUCUUGCGGGGUGUGGGAGAAACACCACCUCCCACACGGAGAUGAAUUCGCAAACUUCUAA
This 1089-nucleotide long non-coding RNA is filed under the name Vulpes vulpes (red fox). Its description in RNAcentral is "lncRNA (ENSVVUG00000002112.1)". The record is from RNAcentral. Lineage: Eukaryota; Metazoa; Chordata; Mammalia; Carnivora; Canidae.